Molecule: long non-coding RNA, 605 nt
Organism: Oxyura jamaicensis (ruddy duck)
Lineage: Eukaryota; Metazoa; Chordata; Aves; Anseriformes; Anatidae
Exons: 2
Source: RefSeq, a predicted model, not a curated record
GUGUGUUUGUGAUUCUUUGAUGUUUCCCAAUGCAGUCCAGUUUCCAGGAUUGAGGUAACGUCUUCAUUUUCAUUUGGCUUCGGGAUAUUAAAAAAAGACAAGGUAUCUCAUUUCAACUUGGAAGAGAAAUCUUAUCUUCUGAACAUAACUGUUCUAAGACAGUUUACAUCUUUUAUCUGUUAUUCAUGUAUGCAUUCUUAAUAUAUAGAUAAAUGCAUAUUAAAACAAAACACGCUUUCGGUAAACAUAACAGAUACUUGUUGGUCUAAAACAGGACUAUAAUAUUCAUGUUCAGCUUGGGAAUAAGAGUGCCUUAAAGAUCUUUCAGUUAAAACUAUCAAAGUAGCCCUUGAACAUGCCGUUUUAACUUUUAUAGAACUCAGUGGAAAUCAUACUCUGAAGAACAAACUUCUGUCCUAUAUGUAAAUACUGGGAUUUCUGAACAAAAAAAAAAUAAUUAAAUCUAAUUUUCUGUUGUCAACUGGAGCAGUUAAAACAUAAAAAUUUUAGCUGAUAGUACAGGUAGUGCUUAUUACGGCAUGAUAUAUUUAAGAUACAUUGACCGUGGCUUUUGCAAUUGAAUGAAAAUCAGAUUUAAUACAAAC